Molecule: ribosomal RNA, 465 nt
Filed under: uncultured bacterium
Lineage: Bacteria
Description: partial 16S ribosomal RNA
Rfam family: Bacterial small subunit ribosomal RNA
Source: RNAcentral
GACGAACGCUGGCGGCGUGCUUAACACAUGCAAGUCGAACGGAAAGGCCCUGCUUGCAGGGUACUCGAGUGGCGAACGGGUGAGUAACACGUGGGUGAUCUGCCCUGCACUUCGGGAUAAGCCUGGGAAACUGGGUCUAAUACCGGAUAGGAGCCAUUUUUAGUGUGAUGGUUGGAAAGUUUUUUCGGUGUGGGAUGAGCUCGCGGCCUAUCAGCUUGUUGGUGGGGUAAUGGCCUACCAAGGCGGCGACGGGUAGACGGCCUGAGAGGGUGGACGGCCACAUUGGGACUGAGGUACGGCCCAGACUCCUACGGGAGGCAGAAGUGGGGAAGAUUGCACAAUGGGCGCAAGCCUGAUGCAGGGACGCCGCGUGGGGGAUGACGGCCUUCGGGUUGUAAACUCCUUUCGCUAGGGACGAAGCUUUUUGUGACGGUACCUAGAUAAGAAGCACCGGCUAACUACGUG